CGUAGGUGGCAAGCGCUGUCCGGAUUUAUUGGGCGUAAAGCGAGCGCAGGCGGAAUGAUAAGUCUGAUGUGAAAGCCCACGGCUCAACCGUGGAACUGCAUCGGAAACUGUCAUUCUUGAGUGCAGAAGAGGAGAGUGGAAUUCCAUGUGUAGCGGUGGAAUGCGUAGAUAUAUGGAAGAACACCAGUGGCGAAGGCGGCUCUCUGGUCUGCAACUGACGCUGAGGCUCGAAAGCAUGGGUAGCGAACAGGAUU
RNAcentral lists this ribosomal RNA (254 nucleotides) under uncultured bacterium. RNAcentral describes it as "partial 16S ribosomal RNA". It matches the Rfam family "Bacterial small subunit ribosomal RNA", at positions 526 to 779 of the family's 1533-position model. The record is from RNAcentral.